Molecule: transfer RNA, 76 nt
Filed under: Planctomycetota bacterium
Lineage: Bacteria; Pseudomonadati; Planctomycetota
Description: Planctomycetes bacterium (groundwater metagenome) tRNA-Gly
Rfam family: tRNA
About the family: Transfer RNA (tRNA) molecules are approximately 80 nucleotides in length. Their secondary structure includes four short double-helical elements and three loops (D, anti-codon, and T loops).
Source: RNAcentral
GCGACCGUAGCUCAGACGGUAGAGCGCAACCUUGCCAGGGUUGAGGUCGCGGGUUCAAGACCCGCCGGUCGCUCCA